Non-coding RNA from Yersinia enterocolitica subsp. enterocolitica 8081, 160 nucleotides. The record is from Rfam. NCBI's taxonomy places the organism in Bacteria, Pseudomonadati, Pseudomonadota, Gammaproteobacteria, Enterobacterales, Yersiniaceae.
UGUUGCAUCGCGCAACAUGCCAAUGUCCUGGUGAUUUGAGAGGGACGCCUUCGGGUAAUCGCAUGCCAAUGUCACCUUAGCCUGAGAGGUGACGCCUUCGGGCGGUACCCUCGUUAACCUUUGAAAAUGGGGAUCGCAACAGAGUUGCGGUAAGGUCUCU